AGUGAACGCUGGCGGCAGGCCUAACACAUGCAAGUCGAACGGCAACACAAGGAAGCUUGCUCUCUGGGUUUCGCGUGGCGGACGUGUGAGACAUGCAUCUGAAUCUGCCCAUUUGUUGGGGAUAACCUCGGGAAACCGAGACUAAUACCGCAUACGACCUACGGGUGAAAGCUGGGGAUCUUCAGACCUUGCUCAUAUGGAUGAGCCGGUGCCGGAUUAGCUAGUUGGAGGGGUAAAGGCUCACCAAGGCGACGAUGCGUAGCUGGUCUGAGAGGAUGAUCGGCCACACUGGAACUGAGACACGGUCCAGACUCCUACGGGAGGCAGCAGUGGGGAAUCUUCGGCAAUGGGCGAAAGCCUGACGCAGCAACGCCGCGUGUGUGAAGAAGGUCUUCGGGUUGUAAAGCUCUUUUAUUGGGGAAGAAAAAAUGUCGAAUAAUCUAUGGUCGUCAUGACGGUACCUAAAGAGAAAGCCCCGGCUAACUUCGUG
RNAcentral lists this ribosomal RNA (490 nucleotides) under uncultured bacterium. Its description in RNAcentral is "partial 16S ribosomal RNA". It matches the Rfam family "Bacterial small subunit ribosomal RNA", at positions 29 to 507 of the family's 1533-position model. The record is from RNAcentral.